This 253-nucleotide ribosomal RNA is filed under the name uncultured bacterium. RNAcentral describes it as "partial 16S ribosomal RNA". It matches the Rfam family "Bacterial small subunit ribosomal RNA", at positions 524 to 776 of the family's 1533-position model. The record is from RNAcentral.
GACAGAGGUGCCGAGCGUUAGGCGGAAUUACUGGGCUUAAAGCGUGUGUAGGCGGACUUCUAAGUACCUUGUGAAAUCCCACGGCUCAACCGUGGAACUGCUUGGUAUACUGGUCGUCUUGAGCCACCUAGGGGCAACCGGAACAAACGGUGGAGCGGUGAAAUGCGUAGAUAUCAUUUGGAACGCCAAUGGUGAAAACAGGUAACUGGGAGUGUGCUGACGCUGAGACACGAAAGCCAGGGGAGCGAACGGG